Molecule: ribosomal RNA, 254 nt
Filed under: uncultured bacterium
Lineage: Bacteria
Description: partial 16S ribosomal RNA
Rfam family: Bacterial small subunit ribosomal RNA
Source: RNAcentral
UACGGGGGGGGCAAGCGUUGUUCGGAAUUACUGGGCGUAAAGGGCUCGUAGGUGGCCAACUAAGUCAUACGUGAAAUCCCUCGGCUUAACCGGGGAACUGCGUCUGAUACUGGAUGGCUUGAGUUUGGGAGAGGGAUGCGGAAUUCCAGGUGUAGCGGUGAAGUGCGUAGAUAUCUGGAGGAACACCGGUGGCGAAGGCGGCAUCCUGGACCAACACUGACGCUGAGUGAGCGAAAGCCAGGGGAGCAAACGGG